RNAcentral lists this ribosomal RNA (431 nucleotides) under uncultured bacterium. RNAcentral's name for it is "partial 16S ribosomal RNA". It matches the Rfam family "Bacterial small subunit ribosomal RNA", at positions 338 to 795 of the family's 1533-position model. The record is from RNAcentral.
CCUACGGGAGGCAGCAGUAGGGAAUAUUGGACAAUGGGCGCAAGCCUGAUCCAGCCAUCCCGCGUGAAGGAUUAAGGCCUCUGGGUUGUAAACUUCUUUUCUCUGGGAAUAGGUACCAGAGGAAUAAGCACCGGCUAACUCCGUGCCAGCAGCCGCGGUAAUACGGAGGGUGCAAGCGUUAUCCGGAUUCACUGGGUUUAAAGGGAGCGUAGGUGGCUUUGUAAGUCAGUGGUGAAAUAUUGCGGCUCAACCGCAAAACUGCCAUUGAUACUGCUUAGCUUGAAUCACGUCGAGGUGGAUGGAAUAAUACAUGUAGCGGUGAAAUGCUUAGAUAUGUAUUAGAACACCGAUUGCGAAGGCAGUUCACUAGCGGUAUUGACACUGAGGCUCGAAAGCGUGGGGAUCAAACAGGAUUAGAUACCCUUGUAGUC